AUGUCUGGGCUGCACGCUGGGCAGUCAAAGUGGUCCUCCUGGCAUAAUUUGUCCACUUCGAAUCGGACAGCUUCCCACUCCAAGAAGCUUUUUCCGGAGGAACUCGCUGUAUGUCGUCAUGGGGUUCUCCUUCGUGCCCUCAAUAUGUUCAGGGGGGAGAUUUUUGCCUACCCCCUGUACCUCCAAAAGCAAAUGGCCUGUAAGCCAGUUAAAUUUUUUGCAAUGGAUGUGGCAUGCAAGUACUGGCCUUACCUCCAGAGAGUGACAGAGAAAUGCCCUGAGCUUGAGGAUCUCCUCACCAUGAGGCCAUUUCUUUCUGUUUUUCAUGCCAAAGCUCAUGAUUUCAAAUGUGAGGUAAGAAAAAAUGAUUGUCCAUGAUAUUUUCUUUCCCUAAAAAUCCUGCAUAAGAUUGUUGCCACUUAGGUUUUGUUUUUUUGUUUUCUUUUUUUAAAGGUAAAAUGGAGUGGAGCAUAUCAGGAGGGGCUGGUUCGACUCUUGGGGAAGAGGUGGAGCAGUGCAACGCCUUCCUCUCGAGGAUUGCUGUUACGACAAAGCACAUGUCAAAAAGCAGGUAAGGUAACCAGUAAAUUUUGAUCCUGAUGACAUGGGUGAGCCACUUAUGCAUACAUGCUGACUCUGAAAAUAUAAAGAUCAGAAUAUAUUAAACACAAAUGGAUGGAUCGAUUACAAUAACAUCAUCCUAUUUUAUUUGACGUGAGGAUAAUAAGGAAGGGCAGUGCGAUAUAAAAAAAACACAUCCAAGUACCAUUCACCUACUGUCCUGCCAUAGUGCUCCAUACCAUUU
This is a long non-coding RNA of Cyprinus carpio carpio, 805 nucleotides long. The record is from Ensembl. Lineage: Eukaryota; Metazoa; Chordata; Actinopteri; Cypriniformes; Cyprinidae.